Long non-coding RNA from Caretta caretta (loggerhead turtle), 266 nucleotides. RefSeq lists it as uncharacterized. The record is from RefSeq and is a predicted model, not a curated record. Lineage: Eukaryota; Metazoa; Chordata; Testudines; Cheloniidae.
GGAGAUUUAUAUCAAUUGGUACGCCUACUCCACAGGAAGUCCUACAUUUUAGGAGUCUUUCUGCAAGGGAAUGGGUGAAGAUCCUUUGAUUCCAGGAUGAAAGGAAUGAAAACAGAUUGCUUGGGAGCCCUGCUUCCCAUAUUCUUUCGAAGGCACACAAUUCGGGUUGGGGAUGUGGACAACUGAUUUGAUGUUUAAAUACUGUGGUCUCCAUUUCUGUAACAUUCCCCUGGUUUCAUGACAUCAAAAAGCUAUGAAAGGCAUGG